Molecule: non-coding RNA, 123 nt
Filed under: Arthrobacter sp.
Lineage: Bacteria; Bacillati; Actinomycetota; Actinomycetes; Micrococcales; Micrococcaceae
Also listed under: 1 other name
Description: SAM-I sequence
Rfam family: SAM riboswitch aptamer (S box leader)
About the family: The SAM riboswitch is found upstream of a number of genes which code for proteins involved in methionine or cysteine biosynthesis in Gram-positive bacteria. The SAM riboswitch acts at the level of transcription termination control. The predicted structure consists of a complex stem-loop region followed by a single stem loop terminator region.
Source: RNAcentral
UUCCCAUCCAGAGCGGCCGAGAGACCUGGCUUGUUGACGCCGCAGCAACCGUCCAACGUACUGUCCCUGUCCCGCAGGUGCGGCAGUGCAGAGGAACGGUGCUACCGCCAGAAACGAUGGAAA